Molecule: ribosomal RNA, 394 nt
Filed under: Roseobacter sp. F136
Lineage: Bacteria; Pseudomonadati; Pseudomonadota; Alphaproteobacteria; Rhodobacterales; Roseobacteraceae
Also listed under: 1 other name
Description: bacterial SSU rRNA
Rfam family: Bacterial small subunit ribosomal RNA
Source: RNAcentral
GUGGGAACAUACCCUUUGGUACGGAAUAGCCUCGGGAAACUGGGAGUAAUACCGUAUGUGCCCUUCGGGGGAAAGAUUUAUCGCCAAAGGAUUGGCCCGCGUUGGAUUAGGUAGUUGGUGGGGUAAUGGCCUACCAAGCCGACGAUCCAUAGCUGGUUUGAGAGGAUGAUCAGCCACACUGGGACUGAGACACGGCCCAGACUCCUACGGGAGGCAGCAGUGGGGAAUCUUAGACAAUGGGCGCAAGCCUGAUCUAGCCAUGCCGCGUGAUCGAUGAAGGCCUUAGGGUUGUAAAGAUCUUUCAGCUGGGAAGAUAAUGACGGUACCAGCAGAAGAAGCCCCGGCUAACUCCGUGCCAGCAGCCGCGGUAAUACGGAGGGGGCUAGCGUUGUUC